Molecule: RNase P RNA, 351 nt
Filed under: Leadbetterella sp.
Lineage: Bacteria; Pseudomonadati; Bacteroidota; Cytophagia; Cytophagales; Leadbetterellaceae
Also listed under: 1 other name
Description: RNase P RNA component class A
Rfam family: Bacterial RNase P class A
About the family: Ribonuclease P (RNase P) is a ubiquitous endoribonuclease, found in archaea, bacteria and eukarya as well as chloroplasts and mitochondria.
Source: RNAcentral
GAAAUAAGCUGACCUAUCGCCAGAUUAGUUAUAAUUUGGAGGAAAGUCCGAACAACACAGAGCAUCAUGCUACCUAACGGGUAGGGGAGAAUUCGUUCUCUACAGAUAGUGCCACAGAAAAUUACCGCCAUAUUUCGGUGUGGUAAGGGUGAAAAGGUGGUGUAAGAGACCACCGGUAGACUUGCAAAACGAUACGCAUAGGUAAACCUCAUGAGUUGAAAGACCAAAUAAACCGACGCUAAAGGGUAGCUCGCUCAAGUCGGAGGGUAGGUUGAUAGAGGUUUUGAGCAAUCAAUUCCCUAGAUAAAUGAUAGGAUAGAACAGAAUUCGGCUUAUUAGCUUAUUUCAUUU